Molecule: ribosomal RNA, 253 nt
Filed under: uncultured bacterium
Lineage: Bacteria
Description: partial 16S ribosomal RNA
Rfam family: Bacterial small subunit ribosomal RNA
Source: RNAcentral
UACGAAGGGUGCGAGCGUUAUUCGGAUUGAUUGGGCGUAAAGGGUGCGCAGGCGGUUUGUUAAGUCAACUGUUAAAUUUCCCAGCCUAACUGGGAGCAGGCAGUAGAUACUGGCAAGCUUGAGGAUGGAAGAGAGAAGUGGAAUUCCAGGAGUAGCGGUAAAAUGCGUAGAUCUCUGGAGGAACACCGAUGGCGAAGGCAGCUUCUUGGUCCAUUCCUGACGCUCAUGCACGAAAGCGUGGGGAGCAAACAGG